Molecule: ribosomal RNA, 214 nt
Filed under: uncultured bacterium
Lineage: Bacteria
Description: partial 16S ribosomal RNA
Rfam family: Bacterial small subunit ribosomal RNA
Source: RNAcentral
UACGUAGGGGGCGAGCGUUGUCCGGAAUUAUUGGGCGUAAAGCGCGUGUAGGCGGCUUGGUAAGUCCGCUGUGAAAACUCGGGGCUCAACCCCGAGCCUGCGGUGGAUACUGCCUCGCUUGAGUCCGGGAGGGGAGAGCGGAACUCCUAGUGUAGCGGUGAAAUGCGCAGAUAUUAGGAAGAACACCGGUGGCGAAGGCGGCUCUCUGGAACGG